Molecule: long non-coding RNA, 10827 nt
Filed under: Varroa destructor (honeybee mite)
Lineage: Eukaryota; Metazoa; Arthropoda; Arachnida; Mesostigmata; Varroidae
Description: uncharacterized LOC111243094, transcript variant X2
Source: RNAcentral
CCCGCCUUUACUGUAGCCAUUCGAAAACACUUUUAAAAAAUUGCUAUUUUCACCACUACAGUUAUCGAAACAUUUCCAUGUUCUUUGUUUGCAUAUCUACUGUUUUUCGAUAGCGCAAUUAGAUAGGCCCACUGUAAAUCUUUUGGCACUGCAAAAAACGUACAAUUUGCAAGCUUGGCGUGAAAUAAAGCAUGCGACAUUUUCCUUUUUUUUUUUUUGGCAGUUCCUGUUGUAUAAUAACCGUUGUUUCGUCGCGUAGUUUCAACUCUCUGAAAAAUUUUUAAUAUUUUUAGAGUUAGCUUCUGAUUCUUAUGAUUGCGAUUAAAGGCUGCCAGUGCCAUCAGUGUAACAAUUUCACGUACCGGUCCGCAGUGUGCGUUUAACAAACACUUUGCCGUAGACGCGGAGGAGGCACAAUGCUGCUCAUACUAACAGCUGUUAUCCACACUUGCAUUUUUUUCGAAUUAGACCUGCAUUUAGCUUGGUGUUUGCACAACAGUAGCAAUAGUACUAAUAAAGACUGUAGGGGUUAGGGCCAACGACUAUAAGGAGAAAGAGAGAGAGAAAGAAAUGCUCUGAGGUGACCUUCAGCUAUCAGUAAAAUUACGUUUUCGAGAAAAACUGUACAGUAAAUAUUACCAUACUCAUUUUGAUUUGCACUCAUCUGGCUUGGAGCAAAGUUGACCGCUUGUUAUUCGUGUGACUUCAGUCGUGUAUUUAAAUAGCAUGUAUUGAAUGAUAUGAACCGGACCAAACGCUGUUUUGACCGCUUUUCCAUGUAGCAAUGCUUUCGCAUUUCAGAGAAAAGUAUGCUUAAUUGUUCACUGGCUUCUGGCAUUAGUACUGUUAGAGUUUUCAACAGCCUGAAAAAACCCUCCUGUAUUAAACAAUCCACUCGGAGAAUGGCUCUUCCUUCACCAGAAAUUCUUCCUCGGGUAUCCGCGCUACUUGUUUUUGUUCUGCCUCAGUUGUGGCUGACUCGAAAGUUAGCUUAUAUGACUCGAACAAAAAAAAAACAAGCUAAUAGGGCAUAAGCUGCAGAACGAAAAAAGGGUUGCUGUGGAACACCUGAAUUAUAGUAAGUUCCGGCUACCGUGAUCGUAUAGUUUUUUCCGAUGCAGGACCGUGGUAUCUAGCUUGGCAUGGUAACUAACCAUGAAAAGAAAACACAGAGUAUGCCUAACUUUAUUCACGAAACUACUAACAUCUGAACAGUAGUUAAGCUGAACCAACAAGUCUGCUAUCUAUUGUGUUUAAGGCCUGCGUACAUUAACGGCACCACACUGUCUAUAGCCGCUACCACUUUUUGAAAUGUCCUUUUCGUGGGUCAACCUCUCCCAAGGGCUUGGAAUUCGAUCGGCAACAAGCGAUUAUACCAGGCUUAUCGUUUGAACGAUACCACUCUAUAUAAAGUAGAUAAAUUGAUAGUUCCACAAUAAACGGCAUGCGGUUAUCUUUUUACUGGCGCACACAAUUGGCGAAUGGACUUAAAGUGUAUAUAACAGUAACUAUCAUUUCUUGGCACGUUACUCGGCGUUCGCGUAUCAGUAAUAUAUUUGAAUUGAACUGAAUUAAAUGAUAAGUCUACGGAUCUUUAUCAAUAAUCUAAACUGACAUUUUUCACUGAGAAUUUCCUUAUUAUUUCGUUUGUUUUGCUCAAUAUAUACCUAUUUAUAUACAUAACAGAUACAUUCAAGUCCAGUAGGACCUCUAAAACGUCCUUUCUGAUUUAAGAGAUACUUGUUUCUUUUGCAAAUAGCAUAAAUAUCUGGUGCAGUGUUAUUUAUCUAUCAGAAAGCUUUAUGAUAUACAAUACUUUACGAAAAUUGAGCUGUAGUAUAAUAAGAAACCUUGGAACAACCGUUUUUUUGUUAGAAAAAUCGCUGACGUCAAUCUGAUUAAAGUCCAUCAGAGAACAAUAUUUUCUAUGUUUCCCAAUAAAUCGCAGCUCGCCAAUAGCGGCCUAUUAAUUCGUCUUUUCUUAAACCUCAUGGGUCUCAGGCGGUAAGGCUUUCCAACUCUUGGUAUCGGUUGACUUCCGGUGUGUAACUGUUGCAUCCGUUUUGUGUACCUCCGGUCCGAACAGCGACGUCGGGUGGCGUGUUCUGGGCACCGGAAGCUCUGCAGUGCUCCUUUGGAGGUUUCGAUGCUGUUGUGAUGUGCAGCGUGACGUCGCGGCAUGUGGCAGAUUACCCCCGGUGAGGUCGUUCAGUCAUAGUGGCCCAUUGGGCUAACCGAAUCCCCAAACUUAGUCUCCAAAGAGGCACUUUUAAGAUCUUCAAAAUGCCGUGUGUUGAACUUUAUUCGGUGUAUCCGAUUGCAAGAUUAAUUUUGAAAAUACCCGUUAUUUUCGAAAACAUGCACCAGGCAUGUCUUUCGUCAGUAUUAGUUGUGUGCUGCGGUAAACGGUUGAGAUUUAAAGCGAUACCACAGAUAGUUCCUUUUUUAAAUUUAAUUAGAAUGAUUUUGCUUACUUGCAGAAGAAAAUAGCAUUCUCAAUCCUGGUAUUAAGCUGUCUCCUGUCAUAUAUGUAUUCUAGAUGAUUUUUGCUAGCCAUGCAAAUGCUAUAUUCUAUCUACUGGUCGUGUGCUGCCCCUGUAAUAUAUCCAGUUUUUAGAAACUUAACAACUUUGCGAUAGUGCCGUGCGCGCAAUUAUUACGAUACAAUCAGGCAUUGUAAGCAAUCUACGUACACUCGAAUUGACUGUUACAAACUGGUUUUAUUUGGCCAAUAGCUCACUGGAAAAUCCUCUUCUUUCACAUAUUUCGAAAUUUGCCGUGACCCGGGAGAACAGAACGCGUUAAUGUAUUCACCUGUCUAUUUAAACACAUAAAUUUAUAUACAUACUGUAACAGCGUGUCAUUUCGGUACGAUCACAAAUGUAAUGGCUGAUUUGAAUGAUUCCUCAGCUGUAUGUAUCAUUGAGUGUGUUUGAUAUAAUGCAUUACUCGAGUCUGAGACCUCACACAGGUGGAAUAAAUUCAUGCAUAAUUUGACACUGGUAAGAUCAUGAAGACUACGAGUGAUUUUACCGAUCAAUAGGCAAUUAAUGUGUUUAUCAAACCUGUCUGCAGUGGUGCCUUGGAAUUAUAACAAAAUUUGUGUUACAAGUAAAGAUUUUCUUUAUCACCACUGUCGUUGCAUGACAAGUACGUAUAUGAUGACCUUGUCUUAUGUCACGCAUAUUGUGUACCUCGGGCUAUCGUUCCUUAACUGACUUAACCACUUAUAUUGUAAACUACUAUAAUAGCCUACAAUAUAGGUAAUAUUAGUAUUAUUCUUAGGUAUUGUUUACAUACAAACAUCUCAACUAGGUGUUUCGUUGGAUAUAAUCACUAAUAUAAAAGGAAUAUGACCGUUCACGACAAGGUUUGUGAACAAUGUCACGAUAGUCAUCGCGAAUAAUCAUAUCAUUUUCCGAUGAUCCUUGCAUUAUGUUUGAAACCUUACUCGUAGCUCUAUGUAUGAGAGGAUGGUGUUUAUGAUUCUAAAUAAAGGUUUUCGAAACAUUUCCAUAUGCGUGAUCUCAGGAAGCAUGAUGUAUUUUCGUGAAAUAAAUAUUUAAUAAUAGGUCUUACAGUUUGGUGCGAGGAAAAGCUUCAGCUAGAGGCAUACCCUACUAAAGCCCAAAUUACAUUUGUUAAUUAAGCUGCAAAUUUACUCAACUCUAUUCUAACAAAACGUUCAUCCUUGCUUCAUCUUCAGCUAUUGAAUACAAAAUAAGUCUGGGUAGCUAGCAACAGCCGUGGGUAUAGUGUAGUGAAUAAAAUAAAAUUGUGUCCCAAAUCAUCGCUAAAUGCCUGUCACGAAACCUACAAGUAAAAGCUACGUAAGAAAAUCGAGAACAUAACCUGUAGGUACAAUUAUUUAUAACCUGUCAAAACAUCUGCCGAAUUAAACUGGGUUUAUAGAGUAAAACGACAAUGUGCGAUUGCUGUGUCAUGUUUCUGCCCCGAAGCGAAAAAGAGUAGGAAUUAAAGGAAAGUUUUAAUACCGAUUAACGUAAGCUUAUUAUUCUCUAAAAUUAUCAAGAAUACCACUCAUCGCUACAAUUUUGAGUGACAAAAUGGGCAUAUUAUCAGCCUUGACUUGAUAUUUUAAUGCGUUUGAUAGCCAUUGUAUUUCUAAUGAAGCGCUCUUUACUAUACUAAUCAAACAGACCCAAUUGUGUCGGGUAAAAAGUUCCAUUACAAACUGAACGACUGGAAAGCCUUCUCUAAUACCAAAGGUACAGACGUCGGGGUUGACAUCCAGUUACUUGUGCAUCGCUUUGCCGACAUCUUUUGAUGUUUCUACCUUGGCGCAGAGUUGCUCGCUGCUUCUUAAUUAUGAUUCGUGCUAAUUACUCAGCCAUGUCGAGGUCCUCGAAAUCAUUUGAAUCCAAGGUAAAUCAGAAGCUCCAGAUCACGAAUCUGUUUUAGGUUUGCUAGUAUUUUUUUUUAGUACCUAGAUUGUUGUAUUACGCGGAUCUCACAAGCCAUAUUACCAAAGUAAGCGUUAUAGAAACUGUAUAUAGUAAGUACCCGUUAUAGAAACUGAUAUCUACCAUUUGUUUAAUGUAAGCUACAGCCAAAGGGUGCCAAUAUGUUCCCAACGCCGACUCCGUGCUCAGACAAGGUGCAUUAAUCGGUACCUUCAUACAUGUUGGCGCUUGUUUCGGGGAUUUUCCAGCGACUCUCCUCAUGCGAUCGAGUAUGUUGACUAUUCUACCCAAAGAGCGUCUUGUCGUUGUUCAUUUGCCAAUUGGUACUUCGCUAUUGAUUUAUUUCACUCAUGCCUUUGGGCUGAAAUCGGUCAGCGCCAUCUUAGUCUGGUGCCCAUCGUGCUGAUCUGUUAGAAAGACGUUAUAGGACAGAACAGCGCCCGGUAGAACCGAAUGAAAUCUUUUAUCGUCGCCAUAGGUAAAACUCGUACAACCACACGUUAUACGGUGAUCUACCUGUAUUUACGUUUUGUUCACCAUAAGAUAUUGUUAUUACAGCCACUCGUAAUCUAAAUGGCAAUACUUGAUAUACCGUUUUCAUUAGGGGGUAACUACGGGUGCUGGUAGUGCCACACGAGUUUUUCGGUAUAAUUAGACUUUGCUUUGUUGUAUACCACGUAUAUUAUUAGAGUGGAUUGAAUCCCGGGGUCUUUCGGUAUCAUCUCAACCGCCAGAAGGGAUUUUGCUAAUUUUCUGACGAGUCCGGGUAAAUGUUCUACCCGCGCCGUUCCAACUAUCCAUAUAUACACACAUGAUACACGCAACAAUUAAGUACGAAUUUUACGGAGUUUUGUGUAACACGCUAUCGAAACACCGAGAUAGCUAUAUAUCCGGCAGGACAAUUGCGUAGCACAAUCUAAUUUCAAUUGCUUUAAUUACGUGUUGGAUAAUCGGUACCUUUUAGGAUGAUUUUUUGAUUCAGUACUUGUAGCAAGUUUACAACUUAGUUGUUACAAAAUAAAACUUACGCAUCAUUUGAUUGCUAUCAAUUUCUUUUGGGGUUAAAUGGAUAGCCUAUGCUGAUUGGCCUUGUAGCCUAAACAAACGAUAUUGCCCUUAACAAGGAAUUUAUUUUACAAAGUACGAUUAUUUUACUUGCUUCUUGUGCAGACAAAUAACGUUAAAGUAUUUAAUAAUGCCCCAUUUCUACAAUCUACAUACAUCGAAUGCAUAUAAAUACGAUACAUCUCUAUGGGCCAAACUGAGCUCGGACUGAGAGGCUAAAUGAUGUGUGCUCAUGGAAAGAUAUCCCUGAACUUCGUUGUUGAUAUGCCAAAUAAUUGUUUUUUUUUUUAUGAUACGGUCCCCGUCACCGUUAGUUUUAGCAUUGCUUAAAGUGCUAAAGUAUUAAUGCUAAGAAAAUACACAACCUGUUAAUGAGCUAAUAAUCUGUUUCUGCAAUUUAUCUGCUUUGAUUUGGCAGUACUGGGGAUUGAAGGUCACUGUAUCCAUCGUUUGUCGGUGAUGUGAUCGGCUAUAGGACAGCUGUGCUCCAAAUCACCUGAUUAGCGGUACCACGAAUUUCAUGUACAAUGUUACCAUAAAUCAAUGUGCUAACACCAUGAUUGGCAAUAAUCGCCAUAAGACAUCCAACAACGUUACAAUUGGCGGUAAAUAUACUGGUGUGACAUGUAAAUGGAAAAAAAUUAUGCAUAUGUAUAUUCCUAUGUUUAUUAUAAUAUGUCCGCAAAGGAAGGCUAUGCUAUAAUGCCACUAUACAUGUGGCCCAGGUACAUGGCGUUGCGUAAAGUACUUCCAGGAUGAAAAAGAUUAGCGGACACGCAUACGUUGUUCCGUGACGGAAGCCAAACGUCAAAGCUAAAAUGCAAAACAUUAACUUAUCUUGGAUAAAAAAAAGGUUGCAAAACUGCUUUAAGUUUGUCCUAACUGCGUCACUGGAUAAUCGGGCAUGGUAACCAGCGAUAUAAACAAAGGAAAUAUACAUCCUAUAUAGCAAACCUAGGGUAUUCAUGUGCAAAUAUACGGUAGUAGCGGUCACAAUGUGUUUUAGAACCAUCAGGAGUUAAAUUGCCUAGUAGACUGCAAAAUAUCGAUUAUAUAUAUUUCGAACUUGAGACAAAAACGCAAAAUGAUCGAGCUCGGUAAAGUAUGCGUAUAUAAAUUGGGCCACGAAAAAAUUUUCUAAAAUAUUCCACUUCCUUCUUCGUCCGGUACUAUGUUCACCGCUGCAUCAUGACAAUGCGCCUGGUUGAUUACGAAAAAUGUUAACCGCAAACACACGACACUAAUUACGAUAAUAAUAUGAAUGCUGUAAAAAAUGUUAACCGUUUAUUUUUUUUUAAUUUAAUAUUUUAUUUUAAUAACUUAAUGUUUAAAUUUGCCAUUGUUGCUUGAGCCGCGCUUCCGUAGACCGUUUCAUGAUUGAAGCCAGUUGUCUGGAAUACUGCCGAACGGCUGAAGUACCGGAUUUAAGAGCACGAAAAAACAGAAUAUCCAUUCAGGUAUGCAGCAUCACCUGUCUCGUUGUUGCCUACCCAUUUUCGAACCAGUCAGUCUUUUCGUUAACUGUCGUCUGCUCAGUUCGAUAGCUACAGAAAUCGGCAUGAUCAGUUGUUUAAUUUUUGCAGUUGACUUCUACGAGUUACGCAUUGAUUCUUAUUAUGAAUCAUAUGUAUGUAAAGACUAAGAAUAUUUAUAUUGGUUGUCGUUAGACAAUCGGUGAGAAAUGUUGAUGGAAACCGGUUAAAUACUGACGACUGAAAUAAUUCGUUUGCUAGCUUAUCCGCUUUAUCAUGUCAACUGCGAAGUGCAACGCCGCGGAGAGAACGUUUUUCAUGUGCUUGUUGGUAAGCUCGUGGCAGUUCCUGGAACAGAACCAGCAGUUCCCGUGAAUGCUGAAGUGACACUAACUUUGGCCUUGAAAAACUUUGUCCUGAACAAAAUAACAAUUUGCGACGAGGUACUGAUUUGAGUAGGCGGCCCGAGCAUUCCAACAGCUCGCCUUUCGUCCGUAUGCUUAGCCCGCAUUAUGCCCAUUGGCCUGAAGCUAUGAAAUUCAUGAGUGCUGAAGAACAGGCCUACGUUUGGAUACAUCCAUUCAUCGCGUCUGGAUCAUCUAAGUUCCUCUAUGGAGUCAGUUCUGCCGAACAGUGAAUUAAUGUGUGAGCUAUCCUUAGUUAGAUGACUCUUGAAUUUGCAAUUUCUCGUUUCAGUGUUGAAGUUUUGACUUGAUGCAAACUGUUUACGAAGAUCGAAGCAGAGCUCAAAAACUUCUUGCUCUGCAAACAUUGCACCAAAUCGUUAAACUGUAAGAAUCAAUACGUAACACUUCUCGAUGGCUCAGACCCAGGCGAGGAACUAUUAUUAUAUAAUUGGCCGGCGACUACAAAAAAACAACAGACGCAAUAUUAAGGAUAUAAAUAGCAUCUCUCUUCGAGGAAAUCGAGGAGCAUGUCUAAACCAAGAAAUCAACUAUAUAUAUUAAGGGUGGCUUUUUGGACGCGAUUCUCAACGAUAAUAAAAAUCGCGAAAAAUCAAAGACUCCUACUUAAUUGUUAUCGAAGAUCUGUACAACAAACUGGAAAUAAUUAUUCCAUAAAAAUAGGACUGCAAAAUAAAAACUAGUCUCGUUUUUGUGAGAACUAGACACGUCAAUUCAUCGUCGACGUCGUCUCUAUCGUUUACGAUCAGAUUUUCAUAUUAAUCAUUUUCGAUGUUUACCAAUAGACUUGCUUAUUUCAACAUUUAGUUAUUUCGUGUGAUAAGGGCGCAGAUCAAAAUCGUGUACGGCAUUUGUCCUGCGCUACGAAGAUACUCAAGUAUACUGGGUAGGUAUUCUGUAUACGAUAAAAUAGGUUAUUAGAUCUCUUGCGAUUUUAGCAACUAUGCAUUUAAUGUUAUCAAUAUUUAACCUUAUCUUAUGUAAGCCAGCCCAUUGAAAACCCCUUCAACUUAACCGCUAACGGGCGGGGUGAUCUACACCUUGACAAAAUAAAAGAUAGACCUAAAAUAGGAAAAUUUAUUAGAGAAAAAAUGCUUCCAGUUUAAAGGGUAUGCCAUUGGUCAUUACUACAGAGUAUACAAAGCAAUAUUGGGAUGUCUUGAAGAAGGUGCUCAUUAGUACUUUGUGCUGUUAAACUGCUCAUUUCCAUGCUUUGUUAUUCCAACUAACAUAGAAAGAACUGAUGAUGUAUUUCCGUCAUGCCGCUAGUUCUCACGAUCGUGCGUGACUUUAAGGGAAUCAGAAACAGAAAUUUUAAUGGAUCUCUUUAACGCCUUUCGUCACCACUAUCGAGUGAUAGUACAAACGUAAAUUAAAACAAUUAGCUAUUGGAAACGCCCACAUAUUGUUUACUAUUAUUCAAUCUCAAAAGAAAAGGAAAAAUCCAAGAAAAUAUUUAAGCACAGGGAUUUUAAGAUUACGUUGCCAAUUUCUGUCUGUGACCGUCUAAAUCAGCGUUACACGAAUCGAGUGGAAAACAAUUUCUAAGCCUUGUUUCAUAAGUUGAAUACUGCUGCUAAUUGAGUCACUGUUGAGUGUUUCGGCCUGCAAUUAUGCAACGAAGUUCCCUCAUUUAAUACUCGCUUUUUAGCAACAGCCGGGCUGUCCGCAAGUGCUUCAAAUCCGAAUAGAAUUUUUAUGCCACGCAGAUCUAUUUCAAUACUUAAUAUAGUUUAUUAUUUAUUGUACCUAUUCCACCGAAAUAAAUAUAUGUGACGUAAAAAAAAAGUACCGAGUGCACCAUCUUCAAUAUGAUCGAACACGUUUCUUAGUUACGCGUCUGUCACCUUUCCCUCUUCCCUGUCAAAAGGAAGUACACUGCUGAAAUACUAUGCAUUGUUCCUUCCGUGCAGAGGUAGCAAUUUAUUCUAUAUCUCCCUUAACAUCAAGUUACAAGUCGUUACAUAAAAUUAGAUCUUUGUUCGAAAAGUAACUUUAGCUCCUUUCUUCAUGUGUAUAUAUAUAUGCAUUCCGUAUGCUUAUAUUUAGGGUGCAUUCAAGUGCAGCUCGUGCAGAUCACUGAGCUGCUUACGUGUAUGUUGCUUUGCAAUAGUGUAAAAGAUCCUCAGUGAUACUUACAUAGAAAUAAGUUGCAACUGUCUGAGACUUCUGUCUGUCAAGAUGAUAUCAUAUUGAUUGUUAAAAGUUGAGAUGAAAUGAAGGCACAAUCAUCUGUUGACUAGAAACCUAGUUUCAACUACGCUUAUUGAUUGAUUAAAUACUAUUAAUUCCAAGAUAUCUGCUUAUGUUUAAUAUAGUAAACCCGUUGUAUGUUAUAUACAACAAUCACUAUAUACGUAAUGGGCAUAAAAAGAAAUCAAAAUUAUUUUUAAAGAUAUUUCUUCACUUUGAAAGCUAACAAUCAUUCUGUCUAUCAAAUCUAUUCGUCUCUAUUAAAUUGUAUAACUAAUAACGUGGGAAAGACACAGUUCUGUGGCAUUUCGCCAACGUUCAUCUAUCGACUGAAAAUAUCAGUCCUGAAAAAUCCCUUCGCGGGAUUGCAAUCACAUUAUGGAAACGUUCCAACUUGGACGACCUAACAUAGUAGAAUAAAGCUAUAUUCUUGCGUGGUAACUGUUUACGGUUAUUCACACCUCUGCGCUGAUAUAACCGUCCCAUUCGCUCCCAAUGUAAUGAUAGCCUCACGUUUCUGAUGAAAAAGUUUCAUGGUGACUACAUUGAUUGAAACUUUUUCCGUGCAGCAAAAUUUUUUUUAUCUAUACUGAUCUUUUCAGAGUGCCGCAAAUCCGAAUACGAACAUGCGCUUGUUUAAGGCCUAUUGCGGCAUACCCUCUCAAUAUAGACAAGUUAACUGUUACCACUACUCAAGCACUACACAGAAUUUUCAGACAUCUUUAAAUCAAACAUCAUGCACACCCCAGAGCUGCCGAUUCUUCUCGCUCGCACCUAGAGAAUGCAACUCAUCUGCAUGGGAAUAACCUAUAUGCAUAUAUAUGUAUAUAUAUAUAGAACGUUUAUUCGAAAAUCUCGCUUUUGUUUGCUGAUAGUGACAAUUAAGCGGGCUAUAUGCAAUAAAGCUGUAAACAUCGAAAAUGUUGCUUCAACAACACUAUUGAUGUUGUUAAAUCAUGAUCCCACACGAAAAAUGCCAACUUGUCAGAAUUGAUGGUCCAGUAUUCUUUCCCAGUUGUUGAAUGCAUGUUCGACAUGAAGAAUAAUAUAAAAUUAUUAGUGCCAGAUCUGUUUUUGCUACUUGAAGUUUGAGUCUUCUGUCCAUUAAAUUCAAAGAGAACCUGACAAGAAUUUUCUCUUAUAAUUAAAUUUCUGUAGCCUUAUUGGAUGCACCAUGCAGCCCAGUGUGGUGCGUGUUUUUAAGGUAGAAUCCUGAACGUUCGUAUCAUCAGAAGUCUGUGGAGCGAA